GAAACGACUGCUAAUACCGCAUAAGCCCACGGCUCGGCAUCGAGCAGAGGGAAAAGGAGCAAUCCGCUUUGAGAUGGCCUCGCGUCCGAUUAGCUAGUUGGUGAGGUAACGGCCCACCAAGGCGACGAUCGGUAGCCGGACUGAGAGGUUGAACGGCCACAUUGGGACUGAGACACGGCCCAGACUCCUACGGGAGGCAGCAGUGGGGAAUAUUGCACAAUGGGGGAAACCCUGAUGCAGCGACGCCGCGUGGAGGAAGAAGGUCUUCGGAUUGUAAACUCCUGUUGUUGAGGAAGAUAAUGACGGUACUCAACAAGGAAGUGACGGCUAACUACGUGCCAGCAGCCGCGGUAAAACGUAGGUCACAAGCGUUGCCCGGAAUUACUGGGUGUAAAGGGAGCGCAGGCGGGAGAACAAGUUGGAAGUGAAAUCCAUGGGCUCAACCCAUGAACUGCUUUCAAAACUGUUUUUCUUGAGUAGUGCAGAGGUAGGCGGAAUUCCCGGUGUAGCGGUGGAAUGCGUAGAUAUCGGGAGGAACACCAGUGGCGAAGGCGGCCUACUGGGCACCAACUGACGCUGAGGCUCGAAAGUGUGGGUAGCAAACAGGAUUAGAUACCCUGGUAGUCCACACCGUAAACGAUGAAUACGAGGUGUUGGAGGAUUGACCCCUUCAGUG
RNAcentral lists this ribosomal RNA (676 nucleotides) under uncultured bacterium. Its description in RNAcentral is "bacterial SSU rRNA". It matches the Rfam family "Bacterial small subunit ribosomal RNA", at positions 153 to 845 of the family's 1533-position model. The record is from RNAcentral.